CCCACCCUGGUGUUAUUAGGA
This 21-nucleotide microRNA is filed under the name Gadus morhua (Atlantic cod). RNAcentral describes it as "gmo-miR-8160a-3p". The record is from miRBase by way of RNAcentral. Lineage: Eukaryota; Metazoa; Chordata; Actinopteri; Gadiformes; Gadidae.